Molecule: transfer RNA, 69 nt
Filed under: Ictidomys tridecemlineatus (thirteen-lined ground squirrel)
Lineage: Eukaryota; Metazoa; Chordata; Mammalia; Rodentia; Sciuridae
Description: Spermophilus tridecemlineatus (thirteen-lined ground squirrel) tRNA
Rfam family: tRNA
About the family: Transfer RNA (tRNA) molecules are approximately 80 nucleotides in length. Their secondary structure includes four short double-helical elements and three loops (D, anti-codon, and T loops).
Source: Rfam by way of RNAcentral
GGGGUUGUGGCUCAGUGGUAGAGCACAUGCCUAGCAUGUACGAGGCCCUGGGUUCAAUCCUCAGCACCA